RNAcentral lists this ribosomal RNA (725 nucleotides) under uncultured Bacilli bacterium. Its description in RNAcentral is "bacterial SSU rRNA". It matches the Rfam family "Bacterial small subunit ribosomal RNA", at positions 45 to 762 of the family's 1533-position model. Lineage: Bacteria; Bacillati; Bacillota; Bacilli. The record is from RNAcentral.
UGAUUGGACGUGCUUGCACGGACUUGACGUUGGUUUACCAGCGAGUGGCGGACGGGUGAGUAACACGUAGGUAACCUGCCCCAAAGCGGGGGAUAACAUUUGGAAACAGAUGCUAAUACCGCAUAACAAUUUGAAUCGCAUGAUCCAAAUUUAAAAGAUGGUUUCGGCUAUCACUUUGGGAUGGACCUGCGGCGCAUUAGCUUGUUGGUAGGGUAACGGCCUACCAAGGCUGUGAUGCGUAGCCGAGUUGAGAGACUGAUCGGCCACAAUGGAACUGAGACACGGUCCAUACUCCUACGGGAGGCAGCAGUAGGGAAUCUUCCACAAUGGGCGCAAGCCUGAUGGAGCAACACCGCGUGAGUGAAGAAGGGUUUCGGCUCGUAAAGCUCUGUUGUUAGAGAAGAACGUGCGUGAGAGCAACUGUUCACGCAGUGACGGUAUCUAACCAGAAAGUCACGGCUAACUACGUGCCAGCAGCCGCGGUAAUACGUAGGUGGCAAGCGUUAUCCGGAUUUAUUGGGCGUAAAGCGAGCGCAGGCGGUUUGAUAAGUCUGAUGUGAAAGCCUUUGGCUUAACCAAAGAAGUGCAUCGGAAACUGUCAGACUUGAGUGCAGAAGAGGACAGUGGAACUCCAUGUGUAGCGGUGGAAUGCGUAGAUAUAUGGAAGAACACCAGUGGCGAAGGCGGCUGUCUGGUCUGCAACUGACGCUGAGGCUCGAAAGCAU